AGCGAACGCUGGCGGCAGGCUUAACACAUGCAAGUCGAGCGGGCACUUUCGGGUGUCAGCGGCGGACGGGUGAGUAACGCGUGGGAACGUGCCCUCUGGUUCGGAAUAACUCAGGGAAACUUGAGCUAAUACCGGAUACGCCCUUUUGGGGAAAGGCUUGCUGCCGGAGGAUCGGCCCGCGUCUGAUUAGCUAGUUGGUGAGGUAACGGCUCACUAAGGCGACGAUCAGUAGCUGGUCUGAGAGGAUGAUCAGCCACACUGGGACUGAGACACGGCCCAGACUCCUACGGGAGGCAGCAGUGGGGAAUAUUGGACAAUGGGCGCAAGCCUGAUCCAGCCAUGCCGCGUGAGUGAUGAAGGCCUUAGGGUUGUAAAGCUCUUUUAUCCGGGACGAUAAUGACGGUACCGGAGGAAUAAGCCCCGGCUAACUUCGUG
Molecule: ribosomal RNA, 435 nt
Filed under: uncultured bacterium
Lineage: Bacteria
Description: partial 16S ribosomal RNA
Rfam family: Bacterial small subunit ribosomal RNA
Source: RNAcentral